GAGGGUACAGCUCAGUGGUUGAGUGCUAUGCUUAGCAAGCACAAGGUCCUGGGUUCAAUCUCAGUACCUCCA
This 72-nucleotide transfer RNA is filed under the name Camelus bactrianus (Bactrian camel). It matches the Rfam family "tRNA". Rfam says of the family: Transfer RNA (tRNA) molecules are approximately 80 nucleotides in length. Their secondary structure includes four short double-helical elements and three loops (D, anti-codon, and T loops). Lineage: Eukaryota; Metazoa; Chordata; Mammalia; Artiodactyla; Camelidae. RNAcentral also lists the same sequence under 2 other names. The record is from Rfam by way of RNAcentral.